This 918-nucleotide ribosomal RNA is filed under the name Micrococcus antarcticus. RNAcentral describes it as "bacterial SSU rRNA". It matches the Rfam family "Bacterial small subunit ribosomal RNA", at positions 546 to 1460 of the family's 1533-position model. The record is from RNAcentral. Lineage: Bacteria; Bacillati; Actinomycetota; Actinomycetes; Micrococcales; Micrococcaceae.
CGGAAUUAUUGGGCGUAAAGAGCUCGUAGGCGGUUUGUCGCGUCUGUCGUGAAAGUCCGGGGCUUAACCCCGGAUCUGCGGUGGGUACGGGCAGACUAGAGUGCAGUAGGGGAGACUGGAAUUCCUGGUGUAGCGGUGGAAUGCGCAGAUAUCAGGAGGAACACCGAUGGCGAAGGCAGGUCUCUGGGCUGUAACUGACGCUGAGGAGCGAAAGCAUGGGGAGCGAACAGGAUUAGAUACCCUGGUAGUCCAUGCCGUAAACGUUGGGCACUAGGUGUGGGGAACAUUCCACGUUUUCCGCGCCGCAGCUAACGUAUUAGGUGCCCCGCCUGGGGAGUACGGCCGCAAGGCUAAAACUCAAAGGAAUUGACGGGGGCCCGCACAAGCGGCGGAGCAUGCGGAUUAAUUCGAUGCAACGCGAAGAACCUUACCAAGGCUUGACAUGUUCUCGAUCGCCGUAGAGAUACGGUUUCCCCUUUGGGGCGGGUUCACAGGUGGUGCAUGGUUGUCGUCAGCUCGUGUCGUGAGAUGUUGGGUUAAGUCCCGCAACGAGCGCAACCCUCGUUCCAUGUUGCCAGCACUUCGGGUGGGGACUCAUGGGAGACUGCCGGGGUCGACUCGGAGGAAGGUGGGGACGACGUCAAAUCAUCAUGCCCCUUAUGUCUUGGGCUUCACGCAUGCUACAAUGGCCGGUACAAUGGGUUGCGAUACUGUGAGGUGGAGCUAAUCCCAAAAAGCCGGUCUCAGUUCGGAUUGGGGUCUGCAACUCGACCCCAUGAAGUCGGAGUCGCUAGUAAUCGCAGAUCAGCAACGCUGCGGUGAAUACGUUCCCGGGCCUUGUACACACCGCCCGUCAAGUCACGAAAGUCGGUAACACCCGAAGCCGGUGGCCUAACCCUUGUGGAGGGGGCCGUCGAA